RNAcentral lists this ribosomal RNA (405 nucleotides) under uncultured bacterium. RNAcentral describes it as "partial 16S ribosomal RNA". It matches the Rfam family "Bacterial small subunit ribosomal RNA", at positions 28 to 526 of the family's 1533-position model. The record is from RNAcentral.
AUUGAACGCUGGCGGCAGGCUUAACACAUGCAAGUCGAACUAGUGGCGGACGGGUGAGUAAUGCUUGGGACUCUGGCUGAUGGAGGGGGCUAACGACGGGAAACUGUCGCUAAUAGCGCAUACCAUAGGAUGAGCCCAAGUGGGAUUAGGUAGUUGGUGGGGGAAUGGCCGACCAGGCCGACGAGCUCUAGCUGGGCUGAGAGGAUGACGAUCCACACUGGGAUGUGGACCGGGCCCGGACUCCUACGGGGGCAAGAGCUGGGAAAUGUUGCGCAUGGGGGGAAGCCCUGGCGCGGACAGGCCGCGUGAGUGAGGAAGGCCUCGGGUUGUAAAGUUCUUUCGGUGACGAGGCGUUAACCACAGAAGAAGCACCGGCUAACUCCGUGCCAGCAGCCGCGGUAAUAC